GUCUGUGUGCAGGGAGUGAGAGGGUCCAUCGGAGAGAAGGGAGCUGCUGGUCUCGAUGGUGAGGAGGGCCAAACUGGACCAAUGGGACCUCCUGGGCCAGCAGGACGGAAGGGACAACCUGGAGACAAAGGGCAUCGAGGGUUGCCAGGUCCAGAGGGGUCAAAGGGCAAUGUAGGAGAAAGAGGAAACCAAGGGGAGCUGGGACAUUCAGGACC
This is a long non-coding RNA of Polyodon spathula (Mississippi paddlefish), 215 nucleotides long. RefSeq lists it as uncharacterized. The record is from RefSeq and is a predicted model, not a curated record. Lineage: Eukaryota; Metazoa; Chordata; Actinopteri; Acipenseriformes; Polyodontidae. The transcript is spliced from 3 exons.